CAAGGAAGGCAGCAGACGCGUAAAUUACCCAAUCCUGACAUUGGGAGGUAGCU
RNAcentral lists this ribosomal RNA (53 nucleotides) under Heterosigma akashiwo. RNAcentral describes it as "partial Eukaryotic small subunit ribosomal RNA". Lineage: Eukaryota; Raphidophyceae; Chattonellales; Chattonellaceae. The record is from RNAcentral.